AGAGUUUGAUCCUGGCUCAGGAUGAACGCUGGCGGCGUGCCUAACACAUGCAAGUCGAGGGAGAAGGUUCACUUCGGUGGACUGGACACCGGCGAACGGGUGAGUAACGCGUAGCUAACCUGCCUUGAAGAGUGGGAUAACUACCGGAAACGGUAGCUAAUACCAUAUAAGCUCACGGAUUGUAGAAAUCAGUGAGAAAAGGCGAUUUAGCGCUUUAAGAUGGGGCUGCGUACCAUCAGCUGGCUGGUGAGGUAACGGCUCACCAGGGCGACGACGGUUAGGGGACCUGAGAGGGUGACCCCCCACACUGGGACUGAGACACGGCCCAGACUCCUACGGGAGGCAGCAGUGAGGGAUAUUGCACAAUGGACGCAAGUCUGAUGCAGCGACGCCGCGUGAGUGAAGACGGGCUUCGGCCUGUAAAGCUCUUUUCUGUGUGACGAGAACGGACGGUAGCACAGGAAUAAGUCUCGGCUAACUAC
This 482-nucleotide ribosomal RNA is filed under the name uncultured bacterium. RNAcentral's name for it is "bacterial SSU rRNA". It matches the Rfam family "Bacterial small subunit ribosomal RNA", at positions 8 to 504 of the family's 1533-position model. The record is from RNAcentral.